This 726-nucleotide ribosomal RNA is filed under the name uncultured archaeon. RNAcentral describes it as "bacterial SSU rRNA". It matches the Rfam family "Archaeal small subunit ribosomal RNA", at positions 59 to 771 of the family's 1478-position model. The record is from RNAcentral.
CGAAUGGGAUACCUAAAUUUCCCAUGGCUCACUGCUCAGUAACACAUGAUCAACUUAACCUAUUGAGAAAGAUAACCUCGGGAAACUGAGGAUAAUAUUUCAUAGUUGAAUUGGCUUGGAAAAGUUUUUCAAUAAAAGGGAUAGGGAAAAUGGUCUCUAUCCGCUAUAGGAUAGGAUCGUGUUCGAUUAUGGUAGUUGGUGAGGUAACGGCUCACCAAGCCGAUAAUCGAUAGGGGCCGUGAGAGCGGGAGCCCCGAGAUGGGUACUGAGACAACGACCCAGGCCUUACGAGGCGCAGCAGGUACGAAACCUCCACAAUACACGAAAGUGUGAUGGGGUUACCCAAAGUGUUCAUUAUUGAACUGUGGUAGGAGAGUAAUGUCCCCUACUAGAAAGGAGAGGGCAAGGCUGGUGCCAGCCGCCGCGGUAAAACCAGCUCUUCGAGUGGUCGGGAUGAUUAUUGGGCUUAAAGUGUCCGUAGCCGGUUUAGUAAGUUCCUGGUAAAAUCGGGUAGCUUAACUAUCUGUAUGCUAGGAAUACUGCUAUACUAGAGGGCGGGAGAGGUCUGAGGUACUACAGGGGUAGGGGUGAAAUCUUAUAAUCCUUGUAGGACCACCAGUGGCGAAGGCGUCAGACUGGAACGCGCCUGACGGUGAGGGACGAAAGCCAGGGGAGCGAACCGGAUUAAUACCCGGGUAGUCCUGGCCGUAAACGAUGCAUACUAGG